UUUCCGUAGGUGAACCUGCGGAAGGAUCAUUACUGAGUGAGGGCCCCUCGGGGUCCAACCUCCCACCCGUGUUUAACGAACCUUGUUGCUUCGGCCGGCCCGCCUCACGGCCGCCGGGGGGCAUUUGCCCCCGGGCCCGCGCCCGCCGAAGCCACCUGUGAACGCUGUCUGAAGUAUGCAGUCUGAGACAAUUAUUAAGUUAAUUAAAACUUUCAACAACGGAUCUCUUGGUUCCG
This 236-nucleotide unclassified non-coding RNA is filed under the name plant metagenome. Its description in RNAcentral is "partial contains small subunit ribosomal RNA, internal transcribed spacer 1, and 5.8S ribosomal RNA". The record is from RNAcentral.